GCAAUGACAGUUCAGUGGCAGAAUUCUCUCCUUCCAUGCAGUAGACCUGGGUUCGAUUCCCAGCCAAUGCA
This 71-nucleotide transfer RNA is filed under the name Loxodonta africana (African savanna elephant). It matches the Rfam family "tRNA". Rfam says of the family: Transfer RNA (tRNA) molecules are approximately 80 nucleotides in length. Their secondary structure includes four short double-helical elements and three loops (D, anti-codon, and T loops). Lineage: Eukaryota; Metazoa; Chordata; Mammalia; Proboscidea; Elephantidae. The record is from Rfam by way of RNAcentral.